GCCGCUUUAGUUCAUCGGUAGAACGGGGAACUCGUAAUUCUCAAAGGGCAGUCCGACUCUGCCAUGCUGCACCA
This 74-nucleotide transfer RNA is filed under the name Bacilli bacterium. Its description in RNAcentral is "tRNA-Thr". It matches the Rfam family "tRNA". Rfam says of the family: Transfer RNA (tRNA) molecules are approximately 80 nucleotides in length. Their secondary structure includes four short double-helical elements and three loops (D, anti-codon, and T loops). Further hydrogen bonds mediate the characteristic L-shaped molecular structure. tRNAs have two regions of fundamental functional importance: the anti-codon, which is responsible for specific mRNA codon recognition, and the 3' end, to which the tRNAs corresponding amino acid is attached (by aminoacyl-tRNA synthetases). tRNAs cope with the degeneracy of the genetic code in two manners: having more than one tRNA (with a specific anti-codon) for a particular amino acid; and 'wobble' base-pairing, i.e. permitting non-standard base-pairing at the 3rd anti-codon position. Lineage: Bacteria; Bacillati; Bacillota; Bacilli. The record is from RNAcentral.